AGGACAACUGAUGUAUAUUUUUAACUUUGAGAGUUUUUCUUUCUGCUGCAUCAGCUGCUGAGCUCAGCCUGGAUCAGACAAACCAACAGUCAGUGAAGACUGUCGCAUGGGAGCAGGCAUAGCGGUGAUGUUCAACAAGAGUCUCAGAGUUAAAGGAGCAGAGCGAGUCAGACUAGUUACUAAAGUUACUAAAACUCACUACUUUAGUGAGUCACCAAAGUGUUUGAGAAGCUGCCAGGACAGUGUGCCGUCCUGACACUUGAUCAACGUUUCAUCUACUACCUGGUAAAUAUGCCACGGCCAGUUAUACUGCAUAGGACCAAAGCUGGUUCAUUAUUCAAUCUGGUAAGUGCAUCUUUCCUAUUAUGCAUCUCAGAUAACAAAGAAAACAGCCGGGCAGAAACCCACGUAUGUCAGCCUGAGAGAGUCUGGAAGACAUGAAAUCUCACUGCUUACAAAAUGGUGCCAAUAGGUUAUCAAUACCCCGAAUCGGCUGUGGCCUGGACCAGCUGCAGUGGUCAGAGGUGUCACAGAUCCUGGAUCAGGUCUUUAAAGAGACAAAUAUCUCCACCACAGUGU
Non-coding RNA from Poecilia reticulata (guppy), 579 nucleotides. The record is from RefSeq and is a predicted model, not a curated record. NCBI's taxonomy places the organism in Eukaryota, Metazoa, Chordata, Actinopteri, Cyprinodontiformes, Poeciliidae.